GGGCGAAUGGUCUAGGGGUAUGAUACUCCCUUCGCAUAUCUGAACUCUUCAGAAUAAGCUUGGGAGGGGUCCGGGGUUCAAUUCCCCGUUCGUCCA
Non-coding RNA from Xylariaceae sp. AK1471, 96 nucleotides. The record is from the annotation of a GenBank genome assembly. Lineage: Eukaryota; Fungi; Ascomycota; Sordariomycetes; Xylariales; Xylariaceae.